Molecule: long non-coding RNA, 148 nt
Organism: Hibiscus syriacus
Lineage: Eukaryota; Viridiplantae; Streptophyta; Magnoliopsida; Malvales; Malvaceae
Exons: 3
Source: RefSeq, a predicted model, not a curated record
GGUGAUAAAAAAUAAUUCAAGAUUUUCCUCGACACCCCCAAAUUUUCUCAAGAAACAAACAGAAGAAAGGGGAAUAUAUUUACCCAGGACUGGCGCCAUCGCCGGUGUGAGGAGUAGACUUGUCGUCUUCAGGAUAGUCGGAGGAUCU